UAAAGAUAUAUUAAAAACACCACUAAUACGUAAUUCUUGUUUAACCUUAAUAGAACCAAAACAGUUGUGAUAUUAUUGCCCCAGGCGUACUUGUAUGUCAUGUCUCGGAAAUGAAUAAUACUGUCAACAACUUUCAACAAUAACUUUCUUUCAAGGAGGGAAUUCCUGAUUAUAAAAGCACCCUGUCAUACUACUGAAUAAAAUGGAUGUGAACAUGAUUGAAACGUUAAAAAGAAGCAGCAAAUACAAAAGAAAGAAUCAAAACUUGAAAGUGGAUUGACCGAUUCAACCAUGUUUUAGCACCAUUUUCAAAACUAUUGUGCUAUUUCUUGCGGGUCGAUUUUAUUGGUGGAGGAAGCAGAAGUGCCUAGAGAGAACAAAUAACCUAUGCAAUUUUCAAGUGGCUAUACCUUUCAUGUAACUAUUAAUGUGUUGCCUAUGCAUUGAAUUGUACCACUUCUUAGUGACUGGAUAGGUUAAACCAAUGCAUUCCUAGAAAACUACUACACCAAUGAACAGCACCUGCCCCUUUGCUGCUAAUUAAGUACAAAUGGCUUCACUAGAAGAGGACGACACCUAGAAAAAGCAUCAAUUAUUUGUCCUUCCUGAUUGAAGGAUUUAUUUUUACAAAUCCAACUGUAUAUGCCAUUUAUACACAAUUUUUACGAUAGUAUAAUGUUAUAAAUUCGCUAAUUUUCAGAUCUAAGCUAGUCCAGUUAGAUAUCAACUUAUGAUAUGCAGUGAAGACAGAUCAUUGUAAUUGUUUAAAUUACCGAUAAUUAAAGUAUACAUGUACAGUACUGUAUGCAUGUUUGGCA
Long non-coding RNA from Mytilus trossulus (common blue mussel), 818 nucleotides. RefSeq lists it as uncharacterized. The record is from RefSeq and is a predicted model, not a curated record. The transcript has 3 exons. NCBI's taxonomy places the organism in Eukaryota, Metazoa, Mollusca, Bivalvia, Mytilida, Mytilidae.